Molecule: long non-coding RNA, 979 nt
Filed under: Cyanistes caeruleus (blue tit)
Lineage: Eukaryota; Metazoa; Chordata; Aves; Passeriformes; Paridae
Description: lncRNA (ENSCCEG00000016053.1)
Source: RNAcentral
UAUAUAUGUUCUGCACAAAGCAAAAACCAGCAGGCUUUGGGUGGGAAUAAGAAAUUAAGGAAAAGAAUUUUGCCUUAGCCCUUUCCCAGAGGCUGGACAAACAGCAUUAGCCUGAUGGCAGCUGUGGCUACUUACUCAUUGUCUCUUAAUUUUUUUCAUCAUAUUAACAAUGUGGGGUUUGUUUUUUAGGCCAUCUGUAAAUCUUCUAGUUUUCUCUGAAUUCCUUCCCAAUGCAUUUCUAGGAAUGUGAGAUCUGAGCAAGAUCUGUGUGUUGUCCCUAAGGCGCUGGGCUGAGCUGGGAUUACUUUCUCACGGGUUCUUCACAGAAGCAAAUGCUUUCCAACAGCAUCACUGAGUUUAGGAUCAGGUUCGCCCUAUGGGGCUCAGGCAUGCUGCUGGACCAUCACAGCCGAGGGAGUCAUUCUUCUUUCCUCUGCUUGGGACCCUGGCUGGCAAUCAGCCCUGCACCAGCACUGUGUAGGACUAUGCUGGAUCAUCUGUGGGUGAGUCUGCAACGCAGAGGACAUCUGUCACUUCCCUAGAAUCAGAGCUGCCAGAAGGGAAGAAAUCUGUGGGAAGACCAAGACCAUGGAAGCUCCAUGUCCUGGCAGAGGCUAUGUGAAAAGGGCUGUGAGGUUUUUUUUGGUCUUUGGCAAGUUGGUCCUGCCAUUCUGUCCUGUGUUUCAGAUUGUUAAGACUGCUUGUCCUGUCAGAACUACCAACUAUAACUAGACCAUUCACUGGAUUUAAACAUUUUCAAGUGUUUACAACCACAUCUCUUCCCCAGGGGGAUCUCUGAACUGUGCUGCUUGAUGUAUUGUCUUUGGCGAGCUCUAUAGAGUUCCUGAAUUUAUGCACUUAAAAAUCAAUGAGCCUUGGUUAGACAAGAACCCAAACACUGUGACUCCACCCAUAGGAUUUCACAGGGAUUAAGAGAGAUAUAAAUAAACCUUGCUUCUGCAGCCUUUAAAGUCUCUAU